This 524-nucleotide RNase P RNA is filed under the name Pyrinomonadaceae bacterium. Its description in RNAcentral is "RNase P RNA component class A". It matches the Rfam family "Bacterial RNase P class A". From Rfam's summary of the family: Ribonuclease P (RNase P) is a ubiquitous endoribonuclease, found in archaea, bacteria and eukarya as well as chloroplasts and mitochondria. Its best characterised activity is the generation of mature 5'-ends of tRNAs by cleaving the 5'-leader elements of precursor-tRNAs. The record is from RNAcentral. Lineage: Bacteria; Pseudomonadati; Acidobacteriota; Blastocatellia; Blastocatellales; Pyrinomonadaceae.
AGAACAGGUCGGGCGGUCGCUGCUGGCGUUUCUCGGGUUUGAUUUCAGAUUUGGGAUAACCGCCAGGAGAGGAAAGUCCGAACACUAAAGGGCAGCGAGCCCGCUAACGGCGGGGCGUUCCAAGUCAAUCUCAGAUUGAAAUUUCAGGUCUGAGAUUUUGGAGCGACGACAAGUGCAACAGAGAACAGACCAGCCUGCUUGCAAGCCACCGGUGGACACCGCUUCGGCGGUGUGGAGGCCGCAAAGCUGAGGCAGGUGAUGGGUGAAACGGCGCGGUCCGCAAGGGCUUAAUGUAAGAGCGCACCGGCGCGCGUGGUGACAUGCGCGGCUAGGCAAACUCCUCGCAGUGCAAGACCAAAUAGGGAGGCGUCAAAAAGGGCUGCCCGCCCGAAGCAGUAAAGCUGCUACGACCUCCGGGUAGGUCGCUCGAUCCGGCUGGCAACAGUUGGACUAGAUGAAUGAUCGCUACUCCGAUCUCAGCUGAGAUCGGAGUACAGAAUUCGGCUUACAGACCUGUUCUUAUG